UGUGUCUCUCUCUGUCCCUGAGACCCUAACUUGUGACGUUGUGUUUUCAUGUCCACGGGUUAGGCUCUCGGGAGCUGAGAGGGAUGCCAGGCCAAC
Molecule: microRNA precursor, 96 nt
Organism: Poecilia formosa (Amazon molly)
Lineage: Eukaryota; Metazoa; Chordata; Actinopteri; Cyprinodontiformes; Poeciliidae
Source: Ensembl